RNAcentral lists this long non-coding RNA (920 nucleotides) under Capsicum annuum. RNAcentral's name for it is "long non-coding RNA (CANN_LNC012298)". Lineage: Eukaryota; Viridiplantae; Streptophyta; Magnoliopsida; Solanales; Solanaceae. The record is from RNAcentral.
UUUUUUGAUUUUCUCAUUGCUAUCCUAUAUUUUUAUUCAACAUGUCUUGUUUUUUAACCCUUCCUCCUUUUCUUAUCUACCGAUAACUUAGCAAAGAAGAGGAUCAAAGAUAUCUUAUAUUUUUGAGCUAUUAAUCAAUGAAAUAUUCAAUAAUUUUUACUUCUUUUAUUAAGAUCUUAAGGUACUAAAUUUCAAACAACAAAAAGAGAAGGAUAGACGGUGAUGAAUUUCCCCCUUGUUAAAUUAAAUAAUCUAGCCAUUGUUUGAAGACUCUAUAGAUGGAUCUUUAAGAAGUUAGAGUAGAAUCACCCCAUCCAUUUGAAAGAAUUAAUUUGUUGAAGCCUGAACACCCUUUUGUCUACACCUAUCUAUUUUAUAUCGACAUAAAAAAUUCUAUAGAUGGAGUAACUCAUAUCUUUCCGCAAUACCUUCAAAGGCAUCAAGGCUAGCUCAACCUAGUAAUAUGGAAAAAUUGUUCUUUGCCUCUGUGUGCUAGCCAAUUUGCUUAGUGUGUAGUUCUCUCCAACACAUUUAAUCCUUAUUUAUUCCCUAUUAGUACAUUAAGGAGGGAUAAUACAACUAUCUGGUCAUUGGAGGAGGUCCCUCUUAGGCAACUUGGAUGAUCCCAAAGACUGAGGUUGAGUUGAUCAUUGAUUUAUUGGCGCUUAAUGGAACAUUUGGUGUUCUUAACCAUACAUCAUUGUAUUUCUUUUUGUGAUUUUUGUGAGAUUUGAUUUUAUUGUGUAACAUAUGAAGGAAAACAUGUCAAGAAUACAAAAGUGUUAAAUUCUGAUAAAAAUUGUUAUAUGAUGAGUCUUGCUUUACCCUAUAGAUCUCGAGACAAACUGUAUAUGAGAUGAUGUUAAAAUAGUUAUCUAACAACCAAAAUACAAUUAGGGGAAUCAUUUGUCCUAUGAACC